AACGAACGCUGGCGGCAUGCCUAACACAUGCAAGUCGAACGAGACCUUCGGGUCUAGUGGCGCACGGGUGCGUAACGCGUGGGAACCUGCCCUUAGGUUCGGAAUAACUCCCCGAAAGGGGUGCUAAUACCGGAUAAUGUCUUCGGACCAAAGAUUUAUCGCCUUUGGAUGGGCCCGCGUUGGAUUAGCUAGUUGGUAGGGUAAAAGCCUACCAAGGCGACGAUCCAUAGCUGGUCUGAGAGGAUGAUCAGCCACACUGGGACUGAGACACGGCCCAGACUCCUACGGGAGGCAGCAGUGGGGAAUAGUGGACAAUGGGCGAAGGCCUGAUCCAGCAAUGCCGCGUGAGUGAUGAAGGCCUUAGGGUUGUAAAGCUCUUUUACCCGGGAUGAUAAUGACAGUACCGGGAGAAUAAGCUCCGGCUAACUCCGUG
RNAcentral lists this ribosomal RNA (433 nucleotides) under uncultured bacterium. Its description in RNAcentral is "partial 16S ribosomal RNA". It matches the Rfam family "Bacterial small subunit ribosomal RNA", at positions 29 to 507 of the family's 1533-position model. The record is from RNAcentral.